Mustela lutreola (European mink) is the source of this 1507-nucleotide long non-coding RNA. RefSeq lists it as uncharacterized. The record is from RefSeq and is a predicted model, not a curated record. The transcript has 2 exons. Lineage: Eukaryota; Metazoa; Chordata; Mammalia; Carnivora; Mustelidae.
UCGGCAGCUCUGAGCCAGCUACGGGCGGUCCCCGUCCUGUCUGAACCAGACUGUCCCUGCAGUGCCAGCGCGGGAGGAAGGCAGGGACAGGCCGGCUGGGAGGAGACCCUUCGUGUCUGUGACGGGGAGCUCAGGGUGCGCACGCACCGCACAGUGAGGUCCCCCUCUCCAGGGCACUGCCACAGCCCUGUCCUGGCUCUUCGGUCCCCACCAGUCUAUCCACACGGCAGACCGGGCGCUUUGGAGAUGUGGCCAUAAGGGAAUUCCAAGUGUGACAUACACUGUGGGAGCAGAAAUUGGAGGCGGCACAUCUGGGACUGCGUGCUGACCAACUCGGACCAACUUUUAAUUAACACAUUGACCCGGCGAAGAAGCAGCCGCCCAGCCUCCCCCUCGAAAUAUGUAUAUUAGCCGCGCGGAAGCCGCUCGGCCCGCGCCGCCAGGUGCGUGCGAGGAAUUGCCUGCAUCGAGGGGCGGGAGGGGGUGCAGAUUGCAAGCGCUCGCUCUCUUCCAGCUAACAUUUUCUCGCCUUCCCUCUAGGAAAACAAAGAAAAAAGAGUGAGUGACCGGCUCCAGAAGCAGGCAUCUUAUAUCCUUUAAUGUGACUUGACUUGACCCUGGGCGGGGAACUUAGGAGAAUGGAAGGGAAGACUCUGGAAUCAUUUCUAAUCAGCCUAACCUGGGCUUAUUGGGUCUGAGCUGAGAUGGAGCCUGAGUUCUUUAAAUGGUCCAAGUUCUCUGUGAAUGAAGAGAAGCGGUGGCCAAGAAGCCUGGUGGCAGGAGAGACCCGGCCAACGGCUGCCUUUUGUGGUUCUGGCCUUCCUGCUUCCAACCUCCUCCCCUGCGCCACGGGCUCCCGGAAGGAAAACCGCAAACUCUCGCAGGCCCUGGGUCUGGGGACCGGGAAUAGGGGUCCCCCCUGCCUGGAGCGCACUGCAGGCAGGAAGCAGAAGGGAAUCUAUGGCUAGUGUUGGGCUCUAGGCCCAGUGGCCGAGUCUAGAGUGUUCCGGGGUGAUCUUCUAGCCAGGCCAGUCACAUCCCGGCUGGAGGGAGGAGGAAACCCGGAACGCUCCCCGACGAUGCCACCUGCAGAAACAUGCAAUUUCACCCUGAGUAAUUUCAUUCAGAAUGGAUGGCGUCUCACUGGACUGGUGCCUUCAAAGUGAGUGCCUCGCCGGCUUCCCCGUAGAGCACAAAUGCGGGUUAAUCCCCAGAUACGUACUCAUUUUCUUUUUCCGCAUCUAAUCUCCACGGACUCGCUCUUCCAAGUGCUUAGCUGCAGCAUACAUCCCUAUAAAAAAAAAAUGUCAAAGCGGUAUUCCUUCUCCCAGCCAUAAAAAAGUUGGAGCGAAUCGCUCCCAAGUUACCGUUUAACGUCCCCUCCAGGUAACAGUUGAAGUUUCUUGUUUGACAUUUUUCAUUCCCCAAUACAGAACUUUUCAAUAAAUAUGUAGUACCAGCGCGAGCAGAAGUAUAUGUCGCAAUAAAUUCAUGGCUGUAUGCUCUA